GUAGGUGACCCUGCGGAAGGGUCAUUACAGAGUAUCAUGCCCUCACGGGCAGAUCUCCACCCUUGAAUAACAUACCUUUGUUGCUUUGGCAGGACGCACUCGUGCCAGGGGCUUCGGCUCCUGAGUGCCUGCCAGAGGACCACAACUCUUGUUUUUAGUGAUGUCUGAGUACUAUAUAACAGUUAAAACUUUCAACAACGGAUCUCUUGGUUCUG
Molecule: unclassified non-coding RNA, 215 nt
Filed under: rhizosphere metagenome
Description: partial ribosomal RNA internal transcribed spacer region
Source: RNAcentral